RNAcentral lists this ribosomal RNA (265 nucleotides) under Porphyridium purpureum. Its description in RNAcentral is "partial 18S ribosomal RNA". It matches the Rfam family "Eukaryotic small subunit ribosomal RNA", at positions 1337 to 1626 of the family's 1831-position model. Lineage: Eukaryota; Rhodophyta; Bangiophyceae; Porphyridiales; Porphyridiaceae. The record is from RNAcentral.
CCUUAACCUGCUAACUAGCGCGGCGAAUCUGCGGAUUGGCGAUGCGCGCUUCUUAGAGGGACACCCUGGGCAACCAGGAGGAGGUUUAAGGCAAUAACAGGUCUGUGAUGCCCUUAGAUGUUCUGGGCCGCACGCGCGCUACACUGACGCAUGCAGCGAGUGGCUUCUUGGCCGGAAGGCCUGGAGAACCUUGUGAAACUGCGUCGUGCUGGGGCUAGAUUAUUGGAAUUAUUAAUCUUCAACGAGGAAUGCCUUGUAAGCGCAA